RNAcentral lists this unclassified non-coding RNA (215 nucleotides) under Hevea brasiliensis (rubber tree). The record is from RNAcentral. Lineage: Eukaryota; Viridiplantae; Streptophyta; Magnoliopsida; Malpighiales; Euphorbiaceae.
AGAUUCCACCCAACAGAUGAGGAGCUUGUUGUUCAGUACUUGAAGAGAAAGGUUUAUGCUUGCCCCCUUCCUGCUUCUAUAAUCCCUGAAGUUGAUGUCUGCAAGUCUGAUCCUUGGGAUUUGCCAGGUGAUUUGGAGCAAGAGAGGUACUUUUUCAGCACCAGGGAAGCCAAGUAUCCCAAUGGUAACCGAUCCAACAGAGCCACAAGUUCUGG